ACGUAGGUCCCGAGCGUUGUCCGGAUUUAUUGGGCGUAAAGCGAGCGCAGGCGGUUUAAUAAGUCUGAAGUUAAAGGCAGUGGCUUAACCAUUGUUCGCUUUGGAAACUGUUAAACUUGAGUGCAGAAGGGGAGAGUGGAAUUCCAUGUGUAGCGGUGAAAUGCGUAGAUAUAUGGAGGAACACCGGUGGCGAAAGCGGCUCUCUGGUCUGUAACUGACGCUGAGGCUCGAAAGCGUGGGGAGCAAACAGGAUUAGAUACCCUGGUAGUCCACGCCGUAAACGAUGAGUGCUAGGUGUUAGGCCCUUUCCGGGGCUUAGUGCCGCAGCUAACGCAUUAAGCACUCCGCCUGGGGAGUACGACCGCAAGGUUG
RNAcentral lists this ribosomal RNA (372 nucleotides) under uncultured bacterium. Its description in RNAcentral is "bacterial SSU rRNA". It matches the Rfam family "Bacterial small subunit ribosomal RNA", at positions 525 to 896 of the family's 1533-position model. The record is from RNAcentral.